UAGCCAUGAUAUGAGCAAGCAUUUAGAAUUUCCUUGAAUUGUUCCCAGCAUUGCAAGAAGCUUUCUUCCUCUUUUUGUGAAAAAAUCAUGAUCGCCCUUCUAAGGGU
Molecule: small nucleolar RNA, 107 nt
Organism: Magnolia sinica
Lineage: Eukaryota; Viridiplantae; Streptophyta; Magnoliopsida; Magnoliales; Magnoliaceae
Source: RefSeq, a predicted model, not a curated record